AAAGCAUUCUCUGGUGUUGAAGGCCCUGCAAAGCAGCAUCGCGGUGGCGGAGCGUCGUUUGCGACGCCCAACACACAAAACAAGCGGUGAAUGCUUUGGGGUGGGGUGACUGCGUACCUUUUGUAUAAUGGGUCAGCGACUUAUAUUCUGUAGCAAGGUUAACCGAAUAGGGGAGCCGGAGGGAAACCGAGUCUUAAUUGGGCGUUAAGUUGCAGGGUAUAGACCCGAAACCCGGUGAUCUAGCCAUGGGCAGGUUGAAGGUUGGGUAACACUAACUGGAGGACCGAACCGACUAAUGUUGAAAAAUUAGCGGAUGACCUGUGGCUGGGGGUGAAAGGCCAAUCAAACCGGGAGAUAGCUGGUUCUCCCCGAAAGCUAUUUAGGUAGCGCCUCGUGAAUUCAUCUCCGGGGGUAGAGCACUGUUUCGGCUAGGGGGCCAUCCCGGCUUACCAACCCGAUGCAAACUGCGAAUACCGGAGAAUGUUAUCACGGGAGACACACGGCGGGUGCUAACGUCCGUCGUGAAGAGGGAAACAACCCAGACCGCCAGCUAAGGUCCCAAAGUCAUGGUUAAGUGGGAAACGAUGUGGGAAGGCCCAGACAGCCAGGAUGUUGGCUUAGAAGCAGCCAUCAUUUAAAGAAAGCGUAAUAGCUCACUGGUCGAGUCGGCCUGCGCGGAAGAUGUAACGGGGCUAAACCAUGCACCGAAGCUGCGGCAGCGAACGUAUCACCCAAGACAACUUUACGGAGUUGACGAUUGACGGAGCGAAGCGACGUCAAAGCGUUCAUUAAAGUCGAGUUGGCUUAGGGAUACGUUCGUUGGGUAGGGGAGCGUUCUGUAAGCCUGUGAAGGUGUGUCGUGAGGCAUGCUGGAGGUAUCAGAAGUGCGAAUGCUGACAUAAGUAACGAUAAAGCGGGUGAAAAGCCCGCUCGCCGGAAGACCAAGGGUUCCUGUCCAACGUUAAUCGGGGCAGGGUGAGUCGACCCCUAAGGCGAGGCCGAAAGGCGUAGUCGAUGGGAAACGGGUUAAUAUUCCCGUACUUGGUGUUACUGCGAAGGGGGGACGGAGAAGGCUAUGUUGGCCGGGCGACGGUUGUCCCGGUUUAAGCGUGUAGGUGUGUGUUCCAGGUAAAUCCGGUU
This 1140-nucleotide ribosomal RNA is filed under the name Salmonella enterica subsp. enterica serovar Typhimurium. Its description in RNAcentral is "partial 23S ribosomal RNA". It matches the Rfam family "Bacterial large subunit ribosomal RNA", at positions 566 to 1547 of the family's 2925-position model. Lineage: Bacteria; Pseudomonadati; Pseudomonadota; Gammaproteobacteria; Enterobacterales; Enterobacteriaceae. The record is from RNAcentral.